CUGGAGCCAAUUAAGCUGACCAGGUUCCUUCCCUCAUGCAGGCCUGGUGUGCGGGCUCCUUGGUGCUGUAUUGCAGCCUGUCACAGCCUGGCUCACCCUAAGGGGCCUUGGAGACCGUU
RNAcentral lists this small nucleolar RNA (119 nucleotides) under Meriones unguiculatus (Mongolian gerbil). RNAcentral describes it as "Small nucleolar RNA SNORA70 (ENSMUGG00000001265.1)". It matches the Rfam family "Small nucleolar RNA SNORA70". Rfam says of the family: snoRNA U70 seems to be exclusive to mammals and is a member of the H/ACA class of snoRNA which contain H (ANANNA) and ACA box motifs. H/ACA box snoRNAs are involved in the conversion of uridines to pseudouridines (5-ribosyluracil) a constituent of structural RNAs (transfer, ribosomal, small nuclear, and small nucleolar). The record is from RNAcentral. Lineage: Eukaryota; Metazoa; Chordata; Mammalia; Rodentia; Muridae.